This 812-nucleotide ribosomal RNA is filed under the name uncultured bacterium. RNAcentral describes it as "bacterial SSU rRNA". It matches the Rfam family "Bacterial small subunit ribosomal RNA", at positions 25 to 853 of the family's 1533-position model. The record is from RNAcentral.
CAGGACGAACGCUGGCGGCGUGCUUAACACAUGCAAGUCGAGCGAUGAAACACCUUCGGGUGUGAAUUAGCGGCGAACGGGUGAGGAACACGUGAAGAAUCUGCCUUCAACUCUGGGAUAACUCCGGGAAACCGGGGCUAAUACCGGAUAUGAGCCUCGAUCGCAUGAUUGGGGCUGGAAAGUUUUUCGGUUGAAGAUGACUUCGCGGCCUAUCAGCUUGUUGGUGAGGUAAUGGCUCACCAAGGCGACGACGGGUAGCCGGCCUGAGAGGGCGACCGGCCACACUGGGACUGAGACACGGCCCAGACUCCUACGGGAGGCAGCAGUGGGGAAUAUUGGGCAAUGGAGGAAACCCUGACCCAGCGACGCCGCGUGAGGGAUGAAGGCCUUCGGGUUGUAAACCUCUUUCAGUAGGGAAGAAGCGAAAGUGACGGUACCUACAGAAGAAGCACCGGCUAACUAUGUGCCAGCAGCCGCGGUAAUACAUAGGGUGCAAGCGUUGUCCGGAAUUAUUGGGCGUAAAGAGCUCGUAGGUGGUUCGAUACGUCGGAUGUGAAAAUCAGGGGCUCAACCCCUGACCUGCAUCCGAUACGGUCGAGCUAGAGUUUGGUAGGGGAGACUGGAAUUCCUGGUGUAGCGGUGGAAUGCGCAGAUAUCAGGAGGAACACCGAUGGCGAANGCAGGUCUCUGGGCCAAUACUGACACUGAGGAGCGAAAGCGUGGGGAGCGAACAGGAUUAGAUACCCUGUAGUCCACGCCGUAAACGGUGGGCGCUAGUUGUGCGAACCUUCCACGGUUUGUGCGACGCAGCU